CACCUCUCAGGGCUGCCCCCGGAGAGUUUCCAGUCCUCUACCAGCCUCAACUAUGGGAGGGAGGGUCUGGCAGAGAUGUAUCCGUUCCAUUCCUAGCAUGGGCAGUGGCUAGCGAAUGGAAGAAAAUCUGCUACAAGU
Molecule: small nucleolar RNA, 138 nt
Organism: Tachyglossus aculeatus (Australian echidna)
Lineage: Eukaryota; Metazoa; Chordata; Mammalia; Monotremata; Tachyglossidae
Source: RefSeq, a predicted model, not a curated record